This 253-nucleotide ribosomal RNA is filed under the name uncultured bacterium. RNAcentral's name for it is "partial 16S ribosomal RNA". It matches the Rfam family "Bacterial small subunit ribosomal RNA", at positions 524 to 776 of the family's 1533-position model. The record is from RNAcentral.
UACGAAGGGGGCUAGCGUUGCUCGGAAUCACUGGGCGUAAAGGGUGCGUAGGCGGGUCUUUAAGUCAGGGGUGAAAUCCUGGAGCUCAACUCCAGAACUGCCUUUGAUACUGAGAAGCUUGAGUCCGGGAGAGGUGAGUGGAACUGCGAGUGUAGAGGUGAAAUUCGUAGAUAUUCGCAAGAACACCAGUGGCGAAGGCGGCUCACUGGCCCGGUACUGACGCUGAGGUGCGAAAGCGUGGGGAGCAAAAGGG